This 433-nucleotide long non-coding RNA is filed under the name Physcomitrium patens. RNAcentral's name for it is "long non-coding RNA (PPAT_LNC008687)". The record is from RNAcentral. Lineage: Eukaryota; Viridiplantae; Streptophyta; Bryopsida; Funariales; Funariaceae.
GUACUGAUUUCUUCUGGAUCGAAAGUUGGAGAUUAUGAUGGGAGAUUUUUACGUCACUAGAGAUCGUUUGUGGCUUGGAUAGGGUGUAAUCAAUUUGACCACUGAGCUAAAAAUCACACAGUAUGGAAUCUCCACGCAAAGGUCCUGCGAGCGUUAUCUGCUCUGACCACAAGUCGUGUUAUAACUCCACCACCUUAAGUGAGAACCAGUCGACAACAGAAAACGCCUGAAACCAAGAGGUAUCAUGAAGUAACAACGCCUGAAAUUCGGCAGCAGCAGUGUAAUUUUUCACAAAGAUUGCGCAGUAAAAUACAGAAACAUCAAUAGUUUGAUCUAUCAUCCUUCUGCCGCUGGAGCAACAGCUUGGGCGGUAACUUCACACCUGAUAACCCCACACCAACAUCGCUAGCCAGUUCCUCACAAAUACAACAAU